UUCGCAAUGCCCGAAAGGGUGACGAAGCGACGCCGCGUGGGUGAGGAAGGCCUUCGGGUUGUAAAGCCCUGUCAGGAGUUAAGAAAUGUAAGUGUGCUAAUAUCGCAUUUACUUGACGAAGGCUCCAAAGGAAGUCACGGCUAACUCUGUGCCAGCAGCCGCGGUAAUACAGAGGUGGCAAGCGUUGUUCGGAAUUAUUGGGCGUAAAGAGCACGUAGGUGGGUUUGUAAGUCAGAUGUGAAAGCCUCCUGUUCAACGGGAGAAUUGCAUCUGAAACUACUGAUCUUGAGUAUAGGAGGGGAGAAUGGAACUUCUGGUGGAGCGGUGAAAUGCGUAGAUAUCAGAAGGAACGCCGGCGGCGAAAGCGAUUCUCUGGCCUAUUACUGACACUCAGUGUGCGAAAGCUAGGGGAGCAAACGGGAUUAGAUACCCCGGUAGUCCUAGCCGUAAACGAUGGGCACUAAGUAGAGGGGUUUU
Molecule: ribosomal RNA, 477 nt
Filed under: Candidatus Scalindua brodae
Lineage: Bacteria; Pseudomonadati; Planctomycetota; Candidatus Brocadiia; Candidatus Brocadiales; Candidatus Scalinduaceae
Also listed under: 2 other names
Description: bacterial SSU rRNA
Rfam family: Bacterial small subunit ribosomal RNA
Source: RNAcentral